UCUCCGUUGGUGAACCAGCGGAGGGAUCAUUACUGAGACUUAUCUCAUAACCCUUUGUGAACCUUUAUAACCUGUUGCUUCGGCGGCGCGGCCCCCGGGUCGUGCCCGCCGGUAUCAUCAGAAUCUCUGUUCGAACCCGACGAUACUUCUGAGUGUUCUAAGCGAACUGUUAAAACUUUCAACAACGGAUCUCUUGGCUCCA
Molecule: unclassified non-coding RNA, 202 nt
Filed under: soil metagenome
Description: partial contains small subunit ribosomal RNA, internal transcribed spacer 1, and 5.8S ribosomal RNA
Source: RNAcentral